CUCUGCCUGUGACUGAAGCAGGAUACAGGUAUCUGGUUAAUGGGAAACUUACACAUGAUUUCUUGUAGCAGGACAUGGUUACAAAUACAGAAGCUUAUCAGGGUUAAUUGCUGAAGGUGUAUGCUUUUUGUGACAGUUAAGCAUGAUUUGAUUACAGGGCAAUAUUCUCUGUCCCCUGUUCUGUUGUUCAUGUCCGUGAAGGUAAAAUCGCUUAGGAUGCGAUGAUGAUUUCCUUGGGAUAUCAGUGCACGGGAAACUUUGAUGUGAACGACUGUUUGAGAACUUUAAUUUGGCUUUGGUAAAGGAGGCAACUUAGGAAGAAAAACUGGGACAAAGCUGAACCCCCCUCUCCAUGAGAAACAUGAUGCAUGCUUCUUUUUUUUGUUUUUGGUUACACCGGCUGCUCCAACAGAAUCAAGAGGCAACAAAUGACAAAGCAAAUGAGGGGAGAUCCUCAGGUGUGUCCAGAGAAUCUCGCCAGAAUGCUGUGCAGCA
RNAcentral lists this long non-coding RNA (495 nucleotides) under Phoenix dactylifera (date palm). Its description in RNAcentral is "long non-coding RNA (PDAC_LNC003925)". Lineage: Eukaryota; Viridiplantae; Streptophyta; Magnoliopsida; Arecales; Arecaceae. The record is from RNAcentral.